This 226-nucleotide long non-coding RNA is filed under the name Fukomys damarensis (Damara mole-rat). RNAcentral's name for it is "lncRNA (ENSFDAG00000030156.1)". The record is from RNAcentral. Lineage: Eukaryota; Metazoa; Chordata; Mammalia; Rodentia; Bathyergidae.
GCCUGCCUGUGUAUGGUGGCCUGCAACCAGCAGCGUGGGAUUCCAGAAUGUCCUGAGGCCUAAUCCUCUGCUGCUCUCUUCUCUCCGCUUCCGGACACACUGCUGUAGCUAAGUGUCCGACCCCUAGCGUUCAGCGAGCAUUUCUUGGAUUGGUAAACGCACAGACUGGAACGAGGAUGACCUCGGAGGUUCUCAUUCUGAGCACUGGGGAAUUCUGCACCCCCCA